This 213-nucleotide ribosomal RNA is filed under the name Triticum aestivum (bread wheat). Its description in RNAcentral is "partial small subunit ribosomal RNA". The record is from RNAcentral. Lineage: Eukaryota; Viridiplantae; Streptophyta; Magnoliopsida; Poales; Poaceae.
AUGAAUACACUAUGUUGAAACUGCCGUGGUUUGGGCAACCCCAUGACAGUUCGAGAAGUCCGUGUUCUUACGACUAAAUUUGCCCCGGCCGUACUAUGCUUAGUUUAAACGCAGUUAUCGAAUGUACGUGCCGAGGCUCUAGCUCAAUCCUUUGGCUAUGAUAAAUCAUUUGUUGUUGGAUGCUCUGGAAGGAGCGGUGGACUUGUAAUUUAU